RNAcentral lists this ribosomal RNA (254 nucleotides) under uncultured bacterium. RNAcentral describes it as "partial 16S ribosomal RNA". It matches the Rfam family "Bacterial small subunit ribosomal RNA", at positions 524 to 776 of the family's 1533-position model. The record is from RNAcentral.
UACGUAGGGGGCAAGCGUUGUCCGGAAUCAUUGGGCGUAAAGCGCGUGUAGGCGGCUGAGUAAGUCUGCUCUGAAAGCCCGGGGCUCAACCCCGGGAGGCGGGUGGAUACUGCUCAGCUCGAGUCCGGAAGAGGAGUGUGGAAUUCCUGGUGUAGCGGUGAAAUGCGCAGAUAUCAGGAGGAACACCAAUGGCGAAGGCAGCACUCUGGGACGGUACUGACGCUGAGACGCGAAAAGCGUGGGGAGCGAACAGG